UCCUACGGGAGGCAGCAGUGGGGAAUAUUGCACAAUGGGCGCAAGCCUGAUGCAGCGACGCCGCGUGAGGGAUGACGGCCUUCGGGUUGUAAACCUCUUUCAGCAGGGAAGAAGCGAAAGUGACGGUACCUGCAGAAGAAGCGCCGGCUAACUACGUGCCAGCAGCCGCGGUAAUACGUAGGGCGCAAGCGUUGUCCGGAAUUAUUGGGCGUAAAGAGCUCGUAGGCGGCUUGUCGCGUCGGUUGUGAAAGCCCGGGGCUUAACCCCGGGUCUGCAGUCGAUACGGGCAGGCUAGAGUUCGGUAGGGGAGAUCGGAAUUCCUGGUGUAGCGGUGAAAUGCGCAGAUAUCAGGAGGAACACCGGUGGCGAAGGCGGAUCUCUGGGCCGAUACUGACGCUGAGGAGCGAAAGCGUGGGGAGCGAACAGGAUUAGAUACCCUGGUAGUCCACGCCGUAAACGGUGGGCACUAGGUGUGGGCAACAUUCCACGUUGUCCGUGCCGCAGCUAACGCAUUAAGUGCCCCGCCUGGGGAGUACGGCCGCAAGGCUAAAACUCAAAGGAAUUGACGG
RNAcentral lists this ribosomal RNA (569 nucleotides) under Streptomyces sp. XKDNR1. RNAcentral describes it as "bacterial SSU rRNA". It matches the Rfam family "Bacterial small subunit ribosomal RNA", at positions 337 to 916 of the family's 1533-position model. Lineage: Bacteria; Bacillati; Actinomycetota; Actinomycetes; Kitasatosporales; Streptomycetaceae. The record is from RNAcentral.